This 497-nucleotide ribosomal RNA is filed under the name uncultured bacterium. Its description in RNAcentral is "partial 16S ribosomal RNA". It matches the Rfam family "Bacterial small subunit ribosomal RNA", at positions 28 to 507 of the family's 1533-position model. The record is from RNAcentral.
GAUGAACGCUGGCGGCGUGCCUAAUACAUGCUAGUCGAGCGAACGGACGAGAAGCUUGCUUCUCUGAUGUUAGCGGCGGACGGGUGAGUAACACGUGGAUAACCGACCUAUAAGACUGGGAUAACUUCGGGAAACCGGAGCUAAUACCGGAUAAUAUUUUGAACCGCAUGGUUCAAAAGUGAAAGACGGUCUUGCUGUCACUUAUAGAUGGAUCCGCGCUGCAUUAGCUAGUUGGUAAGGUAACGGCUUACCAAGGCAACGAUGCAUAGCCGACCUGAGAGGGUGAUCGGCCACACUGGAACUGAGACACGGUCCAGACUCCUACGGGAGGCAGCAGCAGGGAAUCUUCCGCAAUGGGCGAAAGCCUGACGGAGCAACGCCGCGUGAGUGAUGAAGGUCUUCGGAUCGUAAAACUCUGUUAUUAGGGAAGAACAUAUGUGUAAGUAACUGUGCACAUCUUGACGGUACCUAAUCAGAAAGCCACGGCUAACUACGUG